This 514-nucleotide ribosomal RNA is filed under the name uncultured bacterium. RNAcentral describes it as "partial 16S ribosomal RNA". It matches the Rfam family "Bacterial small subunit ribosomal RNA", at positions 28 to 523 of the family's 1533-position model. The record is from RNAcentral.
GAUGAGCGCUGGCGGCGUGCCUAAUACAUGCAAGUCGAACGCGAGAGGAGGGAGCUUGCUCCCUCUGAUCGAGUGGCGGACGGGUGAGUAACACGUAGGCAACCUGCCCAUCAGCCGGGGAUAACUGCGGGAAACCGUGGCUAAUACCGGAUAAUCCUCUCCACCGCGGGGAGGGGAGUUGAAAGACGGUUUCGGCUGUCGCUGAUGGAUGGGCCUGCGGCGCAUUAGCUGGUUGGCGGGGUAAGGGCCCACCAAGGCAACGAUGCGUAGCCGACCUGAGAGGGUGAUCGGCCACACUGGGACUGAGACACGGCCCAGACUCCUACGGGAGGCAGCAGUAGGGAAUCUUCCGCAAUGGACGCAAGUCUGACGGAGCAACGCCGCGUGAGUGAAGAAGGGUUUCGGCUCGUAAAACUCUGUUGUUAAGGAAGAACGCCAGGUAGAGUAACUGCUACCUGUGUGACGGUACUUAACCAGAAAGCCACGGCUAACUACGUGCCAGCCGCCGCUGUAA